RNAcentral lists this ribosomal RNA (759 nucleotides) under Rhadinorhynchus hiansi. Its description in RNAcentral is "SSU rRNA". It matches the Rfam family "Eukaryotic small subunit ribosomal RNA", at positions 462 to 1231 of the family's 1831-position model. Lineage: Eukaryota; Metazoa; Acanthocephala; Palaeacanthocephala; Echinorhynchida; Rhadinorhynchidae. The record is from RNAcentral.
AGGUAGUGACGAGAAAUGACAGUGCCGUAAUCAGAUGAUUCGGCUACUGAAUUGAGAACGAUGAAAGAAUGUUAUCGAAUAUCUAUUGGAGGGCAAGUCUGGUGCCAGCAGCCGCGGUAAUUCCAGCUCGAAGAGCGUCUGUUAAUGUUGCUGCGCUUGAAACGCUCGUCGUUGAAUCUCUGGCAAUUGCCUACGGACACUUCUAUUGUGGUACCGUAGGAAAGUGCCUUUUUGUAUCUAUUCGUCGUUGAUUCACUUAAUUGUGUGUCACGUUCGAGAGCCACUUUCACUUUGGAGAAAUCAGUGUGCUCAUAACAGGCUUAUGCCUGCAUAUAACUGCAUGGGAUGAUGAAACUGGGCCUUUGACUCGUUUCGUUGGUUUACGAUUGCAAAGGCCAUGAUUAAUCGGGACAGACGGGGGCAUUCGUAUUGCGUCGAUAGAAGUGAAAUUCGGUGACCGACGUAAGACGAACAAUCGCGAAAGCAUUUGCCAAGAAUGUUUUCAUUAAUCAAGAACGAAAGUUAGAGUAUCGAAGACGAUUAGAUACCGUCCUAGUUCUAACUGUAAACGAUGCCAACCAGGGUUUCGUCAUAGCUUAUAUGCUUGACGAGCACCCUCCGGGAAACCUGAGUAAUCGGGUUCCGGGGGGAGUAUGGUUGCAGAAUCGAAACUUAAAGGAAUUGACGGAAGGGCACACCAGGAGUGGAGCCUGCGGCUUAAUUUGACUCAACGCACGAUAGCCGACUCGGUCCGAACAC